Molecule: ribosomal RNA, 253 nt
Filed under: uncultured bacterium
Lineage: Bacteria
Description: partial 16S ribosomal RNA
Rfam family: Bacterial small subunit ribosomal RNA
Source: RNAcentral
UACGGAGGGUGCAAGCGUUAUCCGGAUUUACUGGGUUUAAAGGGUGCGUAGGUGGGUUGGUAAGUCAGUGGUGAAAUCUUCGAGCUUAACUCGGAAACUGCCGUUGAUACUAUCAAUCUUGAAUUAUCUGGAGGUAAGCGGAAUAUGUCAUGUAGCGGUGAAAUGCUUAGAUAUGACAUAGAACACCCAUUGCGAAGGCAGCUUACUACGGAUAUAUUGACACUGAGGCACGAAAGCGUGGGGAUCAAACAGG